UUGCUCUUCAACGAGGAAUGCCUAGUAAGCGUACGUCAUCAGCGUGCGUUGAUUACGUCCCUGCCCUUUGUACACACCGCCCGUCGCUACUACCGAUUGAAUGGCUGAGUGAGGCCUUCGGACUGGCCCAGGGAGGUCGGCAACGACCACCCAGGGCCGGAAAGUUGGUCAAACUCCGUCAUUUAGAGGAAGUAAAAGUCGUAACAAGGUUUCCGUAGGUGAACCUGCGGAAGGAUCAUUAAGGAGUAAGGGUGCUCAGCGCCCGACCUCCAACCCUUUGUUGUUAAAACUACCUUGUUGCUUUGGCGGGACCGCUCGGUCUCGAGCCGCUGGGGAUUCGUCCCAGGCGAGCGCCCGCCAGAGUUAAACCAAACUCUUGUUAUUUAACCGGUCGUCUGAGUUAAAAUUUUGAAUAAAUCAAAACUUUCAACAACGGAUCUCUUGGUUCUCGCAUCGAUGAAGAACGCAGCGAAAUGCGAUAAGUAAUGUGAAUUGCAGAAUUCAGUGAAUCAUCGAAUCUUUGAACGCACAUUGCGCCCCUUGGUAUUCCAUGGGGCAUGCCUGUUCGAGCGUCAUUUGUACCCUCAAGCUAUGCUUGGUGUUGGGUGUUUGUCCUCUCCUUUGCGAUUGGACUCGCCUUAAAGACAUUGGCAGCCAGUGUAUUGGUCUUGAAGCGCAGCACAUUUUGCGAUUCUUGCUGAUAAUCACUAGCGUCCAGUAAGCCUAUUUUAACACUUUUGACCUCGGAUCAGGUAGGGAUACCCGCUGAACUUAAGCAUAUCAAUAAGCGGAGGA
RNAcentral lists this ribosomal RNA (795 nucleotides) under uncultured fungus. RNAcentral's name for it is "eukaryotic LSU rRNA". The stretch from base 1 to 241 matches the Rfam family "Eukaryotic small subunit ribosomal RNA", at positions 1593 to 1831 of the family's 1831-position model. The record is from RNAcentral. Lineage: Eukaryota; Fungi.